CCCACUUCAUCAACAGGCCAUAAUAUAAUAUACAUGUCAAACUUCAUAAGGAUUCCAAAACACUGCAAGAAAUUAGAACUUUAAAAUGUUUAAUUUUAAUACCCUGAAAGCCCAAAAGCCAACCCCUAAACAGAAGAAAAUGGACAAAAGUGAAUAUGGAACCAUUGAUCAUCCAAUUAAACAUCAACCUCAAGAAACAUCAAUUCACCUAAGAAAACAAUGUAACCGAAGCAACAGAAAACUAAAUUCCAAUUGCAUCAUUAACCCAAAAAUAAAAACACUUUCUAGCAUAGAAUGGAAAGAACAAAUAUGCAAUAAACAAAAGCACUCGAGAUCUCCAGCACUGAAAUCUUCAGAAAAUGUACAACAUCCAGUCAGGCACCGAAUCGAAAUCCCCCAUUGUGAGCUUCCAGAUUCGUACGGCUACACUCAGAAGCAACAAUUGAGGAGCCGAUCACAUCAGAGUUGGAACAAAUAUAUAUGUUUACUCCCACACCUCCAACCUACCCCGACUCAAAAGUCCGAACGGUCUAAUAAGCCAAAGCAAUCCUACGAGCUUCCAC
Molecule: unclassified non-coding RNA, 563 nt
Filed under: Zea mays
Lineage: Eukaryota; Viridiplantae; Streptophyta; Magnoliopsida; Poales; Poaceae
Description: misc RNA Zm00001eb070380
Source: RNAcentral